UACGGAGGGUGCAAGCGUUAUCCGGAUUCACUGGGUUUAAAGGGUGCGUAGGCGGACUGGUAAGUCAGUGGUGAAAUCCCCGAGCUUAACUUGGGAACUGCCGUUGAUACUAUCAGUCUUGAAUACCGUGGAGGUGAGCGGAAUAUGUCAUGUAGCGGUGAAAUGCUUAGAUAUGACAUAGAACACCAAUUGCGAAGGCAGCUCGCUACACGAAUAUUGACUCUGAGGCACGAAAGCGUGGGGAUCAAACAGG
RNAcentral lists this ribosomal RNA (253 nucleotides) under uncultured bacterium. RNAcentral's name for it is "partial 16S ribosomal RNA". It matches the Rfam family "Bacterial small subunit ribosomal RNA", at positions 524 to 776 of the family's 1533-position model. The record is from RNAcentral.